CCAGACUCCUACGGGAGGCAGCAGUGGGGAAUAUUGCACAAUGGGGGAAACCCUGAUGCAGCAACGCCGCGUGAGUGAAGAAGUAUUUCGGUAUGUAAAGCUCUAUCAGCAGGGAAGAGAAUGACGGUACCUGACUAAGAAGCCCCGGCUAACUACGUGCCAGCAGCCGCGGUAAUACGUAGGGGGCGAGCGUUAUCCGGAUUUACUGGGUGUAAAGGGAGCGUAGACGGUUCUGCAAGUCUGAAGUGAAAGCCCGUGGCUUAACCGCGGAACGGCUUUGGAAACUGUGGAACUGGAGUACUGGAGAGGCAAGCGGAAUUCCUAGUGUAGCGGUGAAAUGCGUAGAUAUUAGGAGGAACACCAGUGGCGAAGGCGGCUUGCUGGACAGUAACUGACGUUGAGGCUCGAAAGCGUGGGGAGCAAACAGGAUUAGAUACCCGAGUA
RNAcentral lists this ribosomal RNA (444 nucleotides) under uncultured bacterium. RNAcentral's name for it is "bacterial SSU rRNA". It matches the Rfam family "Bacterial small subunit ribosomal RNA", at positions 331 to 792 of the family's 1533-position model. The record is from RNAcentral.